RNAcentral lists this ribosomal RNA (253 nucleotides) under uncultured bacterium. RNAcentral's name for it is "partial 16S ribosomal RNA". It matches the Rfam family "Bacterial small subunit ribosomal RNA", at positions 524 to 776 of the family's 1533-position model. The record is from RNAcentral.
UACGUAGGGUGCGAGCGUUAAUCGGAAUUACUGGGCGUAAAGGGUGCGCAGGCGGCCAUGUAAGUCAGAUGUGAAAGCCCCGGGCUUAACCUGGGAAUUGCGUUUGAAACUGCAAGGCUAGAGUGUGAUAGAGGGGAGUGGAAUUCCAUGUGUAGCAGUGAAAUGCGUAGAGAUGUGGAAGAACACCGAUGGCGAAGGCAGCUCCCUGGGUUAACACUGACGCUCAUGCACGAAAGCGUGGGGAGCAAACAGG